Molecule: unclassified non-coding RNA, 253 nt
Filed under: uncultured Phycisphaeraceae bacterium
Lineage: Bacteria; Pseudomonadati; Planctomycetota; Phycisphaerae; Phycisphaerales; Phycisphaeraceae
Description: contains 16S-23S intergenic spacer region
Rfam family: Bacterial small subunit ribosomal RNA
Source: RNAcentral
UACAGGGGCCUCGAGCGUUAAUCGGAAUCACUGGGCUUAAAGGGUGCGCAGGCGGUCCGGAAAGUGUCCUGUGAAAUCCCACGGCUCAACCGUGGAACCGCGGGGCAAACUUCCAGACUUGAGGAAGGUAGAGGCUGUUGGAACGAUAGGUGGAGCGGUGGAAUGCGUAGAGAUCUAUCGGAACGCCAAAGGUGAAGACAGACAGCUGGGCCUUUCCUGACGCUCAUGCACGAAAGCGUGGGGAGCAAACCGG